UGCAGUCGACGAGAGGACAAGAGAAGCUUGCUUCUUUUGGAAUCGAGUGGCAAACGGGUGAGUAACACGUAAACAACCUGCCUUCAGGAUGGGGACAACAGACGGAAACGACUGCUAAUACCGAAUACGCUUGGAAGACCGCAUGAUCUUCCAAGGAAAGGGUGGCCUCUACCUGUAAGCUAUCGCCUGAAGAGGGGUUUGCGUCUGAUUAGGCAGUUGGUGAGGUAACGGCCCACCAAACCUACGAUCAGUAGCCGGUCUGAGAGGAUGAACGGCCACACUGGAACUGAGACACGGUCCAGACUCCUACGGGAGGCAGCAGUGGGGAAUCUUCCGCAAUGGGCGAAAGCCUGACGGAGCAACGCCGCGUGAGUGAUGACGGCCUUCGGGUUGUAAAGCUCUGUGAUCGGGGACGAACGGUCCGUAAGCUAAUACCUUAUGGAAGUGACGGUACCCGAAUAGCAAGCCACGGCUAACUACGUGCCAGCAGCCGCGGUAAUACGUAGGUGGCAAGCGUUGUCCGGAAUUAUUGGGCGUAAAGCGCGCGCAGGCGGCUUUCUAAGUCCAUCUUAAAAGUGCGGGGCUUAACCCCGUGAUGGGAUGGAAACUGGAAAGCUGGAGUAUCGGAGAGGAAAGUGGAAUUCCUAGUGUAGCGGUGAAAUGCGUAGAGAUUAGG
Molecule: ribosomal RNA, 676 nt
Filed under: uncultured bacterium
Lineage: Bacteria
Description: bacterial SSU rRNA
Rfam family: Bacterial small subunit ribosomal RNA
Source: RNAcentral